GCUUGCUCCAGGCGUCGAGCGGCGGACGGGUGAGUAAUGCAUAGGAAUCUGCCCGGUAGUGGGGGAUAACCUGGGGAAACCCAGGCUAAUACCGCAUACGUCCUACGGGAGAAAGCAGGGGAUCUUCGGACCUUGCGCUAUCGGAUGAGCCUAUGUCGGAUUAGCUUGUUGGUGAGGUAAUGGCUCACCAAGGCGACGAUCCGUAGCUGGUCUGAGAGGAUGAUCAGCCACAUCGGGACUGAGACACGGCCCGAACUCCUACGGGAGGCAGCAGUGGGGAAUAUUGGACAAUGGGCGAAAGCCUGAUCCAGCCAUGCCGCGUGUGUGAAGAAGGCUUUCGGGUUGUAAAGCACUUUCAGUGAGGAAGAAGGCCUUGGGGCUAAUACCCCCGAGGAAGGACAUCACUCACAGAAGAAGCACCGGCUAACUCCGUGCCAGCAGCCGCGGUAAUACGGAGGGUGCGAGCGUUAAUCGGAAUUACUGGGCGUAAAGCGCGCGUAGGCGGCGUGAUAAGCCGGUUG
RNAcentral lists this ribosomal RNA (521 nucleotides) under Halomonas ventosae. RNAcentral's name for it is "bacterial SSU rRNA". It matches the Rfam family "Bacterial small subunit ribosomal RNA", at positions 78 to 594 of the family's 1533-position model. The record is from RNAcentral. Lineage: Bacteria; Pseudomonadati; Pseudomonadota; Gammaproteobacteria; Oceanospirillales; Halomonadaceae. RNAcentral also lists the same sequence under 1 other name.